CCUAGUAACGGCGAGUGAAGCGGCAACAGCUCAAAUUUGAAAUCUGGCGUCUUUGGCGUCCGAGUUGUAAUUUGCAGAGGGCGCUUUGGCAUUGGCAGCGGUCCAAGUUCCUUGGAACAGGACGUCACAGAGGGUGAGAAUCCCGUACGUGGUCGCUAGCCUUUACCGUGUAAAGCCCCUUCGACGAGUCGAGUUGUUUGGGAAUGCAGCUCUAAAUGGGAGGUAAAUUUCUUCUAAAGCUAAAUACUGGCCAGAGACCGAUAGCGCACAAGUAGAGUGAUCGAAAGAUGAAAAGCACUUUGGAAAGAGAGUUAAAAAGCACGUGAAAUUGUUGAAAGGGAAGCGCUUGCAGCCAGACUUGCCUGUAGUUGCUCAUCCGGGUUUUUACCCGGUGCACUCUUCUAUGGGCAGGCCAGCAUCAGUUUGGGCGGUUGGAUAAAGGUCUCUGUCACGUACCUCCUCUCGGGGAGAACUUAUAGGGGAGACGUAAUGCAACCAGCCUGGACUGAGGUCCGCGCAUCUGCUAGGAUGCUGGCGUAAUGGCUGUAAGCGGCCCGUCUUGAAACACGGACCAAGGAGUCUAACAUCUAUGCGAGUGUUUGGGUGUCAAGCCCGAGCGCGUAAUGAAAGUGAACGGAGGUGGGAACCUUUCGGGGUGCACCAUCGACCGAUCCUGAUGUCUUCGGAUGGAUUUGAGUAAGAGCAUAGCUGUUGGGACCCGAAAGAUGGUGAACUAUGCUUGAAUAGGGUGAAGCCAGAGGAAACUCUGGUGGAGGCUCGCAGCGGUUCUGACGUGCAAAUCGAUCGUCAAAUUUGGGCAUAGGGGCGAAAGACUAAUCGAACUAUCUAGUAGCUGGUUCCUGCCGAAGUUUCCCUCAGGAUAGCAGUAACGUUUUCAGUUUUAUGAGGUAAAGCGAAUGAUUAGAGGCCUGGGGGUUGAAACAACCUUCACCUAUUCUCAAACUUUAAAUAUGUAAGAAGUCCUUGUUACUUAAUUGAACGUGGACAGUUGAAUGUAUCGUUACUAGUGGGCCAUUUUUGGUAAGCAGAACUGGCGAUGCGGGAUGAACCGAACGCGGGGUUAAGGUGCCAGAAUAUACGCUCAUCAGACACCACAAAAGGUGUUAGUUCAUCUAGACAGCAGGACGGUGGCCAUGGAAGUCGGAAUCCGCUAAGGAGUGUGUAACAACUCACCUGCCGAAUGAACUAGCCCUGAAAAUGGAUGGCGCUCAAGCGUAUUACCCAUACCCCGCCGCUGGGGCAAGAUUUAAGCCCCAGCGAGUAGGCAGGCGUGGAGGUCCGUGACGAAGCCUG
Molecule: ribosomal RNA, 1314 nt
Filed under: Boeremia exigua var. vulgaris (nom. inval.)
Lineage: Eukaryota; Fungi; Ascomycota; Dothideomycetes; Pleosporales; Didymellaceae
Description: Boeremia sp. YH-2018e partial large subunit ribosomal RNA
Rfam family: Eukaryotic large subunit ribosomal RNA
Source: RNAcentral